This 784-nucleotide ribosomal RNA is filed under the name uncultured fungus. RNAcentral describes it as "eukaryotic LSU rRNA". The stretch from base 295 to 448 matches the Rfam family "5.8S ribosomal RNA". Lineage: Eukaryota; Fungi. The record is from RNAcentral.
AGUAAAAGUCGUAACAAGGUUUCCGUAGGUGAACCUGCGGAAGGAUCAUUAACAAAGCAAACCGGCGGGAGGAGGCAUGAAAAGGUUGUUGCUGGCCCCUGCCAACGUGCGGAGGUAUUAGUGCACGCCUCUCUCCUCUCGUCAAAACCCUUUGUAAACCCCCCGUGGCGGGUCGGCCUCGCGUCGUCCGUCAUGUGUUCUUUAUACAAAACCUUUACAAGCAUGUCAAAGAAUGUCUUUUUUUCUGAACGGCAAAGACGCCCCGGGGCGUCGCGUCGGACGAAAUCAUAAUACAACUUUCAGCAACGGAUCUCUUGGCUCUCGCAUCGAUGAAGAACGCAGCGAAAUGCGAUAAGUAAUGUGAAUUGCAGAAUCCAGUGAAUCAUCGAAUCUUUGGACGCACCUUGCGCUCCUUGGUAUUCCGAGGAGCAUGCCUGUUUGAGUGUCAUGAAAUCAUCAAGCCCCUCUUGGCCUUCCUUCCGGGGAAGGUUCCGAGACCGGGGACUUGGACUUGGAGGCUUUCCUGCCGGCCUUGGCGUCGGCUCCUCUUAAAUGCAUUAGCUGGAGUGUGAAGCGGUUCUUGAAUGACCUUCCUUUCGGCGUUCGGCGUGAUAAAUACAUCUGCGCCGUGGCCGUGUUAUGUGCUGUUGGUCGACCCUUCUGAUAAAACUCGCUCUCGGCUUACAGAACAAAAAGGGACGGACCCCGUCUCGUUUCAUUGACGUUCUGACCUCAAAUCAGGUAGGACUACCCGCUGAACUUAAGCAUAUCAAUAAGCGGAGGA